Molecule: ribosomal RNA, 253 nt
Filed under: uncultured bacterium
Lineage: Bacteria
Description: partial 16S ribosomal RNA
Rfam family: Bacterial small subunit ribosomal RNA
Source: RNAcentral
UACGUAGGGCGCAAGCGUUGUCCGGAAUUAUUGGGCGUAAAGAGCUCGUAGGCGGUUUGUCGCGUCUGCUGUGAAAACCUAAGGCUCAACCUUGGGCUUGCAGUGGGUACGGGCAGACUAGAGUGCGGUAGGGGUGACUGGAAUUCCUGGUGUAGCGGUGAAAUGCGUAGAGAUCAUGAGGAAGACCAGUGGCGAAGGCGGGUCUCUGGACAGUUCCUGACACUGAGGCACGAAGGCCAGGGGAGCAAACGGG